UGGGGAAUUUUGGACAAUGGGCGAAAGCCUGAUCCAGCAAUGCCGCGUGUGUGAAGAAGGCCUUCGGGUUGUAAAGCACUUUUGUCCGGAAAGAAAUCCUUGGCUCUAAUACAGUCGGGGGAUGACGGUACCGGAAGAAUAAGCACCGGCUAACUACGUGCCAGCAGCCGCGGUAAUACGUAGGGUGCAAGCGUUAAUCGGAAUUACUGGGCGUAAAGCGUGCGCAGGCGGUUUGCUAAGACCGAUGUGAAAUCCCCGGGCUCAACCUGGGAACUGCAUUGGUGACUGGCAGGCUAGAGUAUGGCAGAGGGGGUAGAAUUCCACGUGUAGCAGUGAAAUGCGUAGAGAUGUGGAGGAAUACCGAUGGCGAAGGCAGCCCCCUGGGCCAAUACUGACGCUCAUGCACGAAAGCGUGGGGAGCAAACAGGAUUAGAUACCCUGGUAGUCCACGCCCUAAACGAUGUCAACUAGUUGUUGGGGAUUCAUUUCCUUAGUAACGUAGCUAACGCGUGAAGUUGACCGCCUGGGGAGUACGGUCGCAAGAUUAAAACUUAAAUGAAUUGACGGGG
Molecule: ribosomal RNA, 569 nt
Filed under: uncultured bacterium
Lineage: Bacteria
Description: partial 16S ribosomal RNA
Rfam family: Bacterial small subunit ribosomal RNA
Source: RNAcentral